This 253-nucleotide ribosomal RNA is filed under the name uncultured bacterium. RNAcentral describes it as "partial 16S ribosomal RNA". It matches the Rfam family "Bacterial small subunit ribosomal RNA", at positions 524 to 776 of the family's 1533-position model. The record is from RNAcentral.
UACAGAGGGUGCAAGCGUUGUUCGGAAUCAUUGGGCGUAAAGGGCGUGUAGGCGGCUGUUCAAGUCGAACGUGAAAACUCGGAGCUCAACUCCGAGCCUGCGUUCGAUACUGGACGGCUAGAGUCUGGUAGGGGGAUCUGGAAUUCCUGGUGUAGCGGUGGAAUGCGCAGAUAUCAGGAGGAACACCGGUGGCGAAGGCGGGAUCCUGGGCCAGUACUGACGCUGAGGAGCGAAAGCGUGGGGAGCAAACAGG